RNAcentral lists this long non-coding RNA (665 nucleotides) under Panax ginseng (ginseng). Its description in RNAcentral is "long non-coding RNA (PGIN_LNC000749)". Lineage: Eukaryota; Viridiplantae; Streptophyta; Magnoliopsida; Apiales; Araliaceae. The record is from RNAcentral.
AAGCUCUUAUCUUUAUAAAAGCACUUGUAACAUGUAAUGUGUUGUUUACUUUCUCUAUACAAGGAAGAAACAUAAAAUGAUCAAGUACUCAGAAGAAUGUAAAUCUUCUUGUCUAAGUGAGAUUUUGCUAGGGUGCCCCAUUUAAGUACUACUGUGCAGUACAAAUAGGGACAUGUUGGAAGAUUGUUAUGAUAAUAAAAGUUACAUGUCUGAAAAUGUUACAAGAGAGAAAUGGUAUAUGUCCUACCAUGUUGGUACUGAUAUAUGUGCCUAUAUUUUAGUACAUGGGGCACCCCUGAAGCUUUUGUGACAAAAGACAACUUCUCUCAUUCCAAAAUUUAUCCUCUCAAUGGAAAGCUCAUUUCUCCAUGCCCUUGAGGUAUACGUUAUACAAAAAGUGCUUAAUCCUCUCACAACAGCAACUGUGGUUAGAGCAAGUCCUGUUAUUUACAAUCCUGAAAUAUAUGAAAUUGAUAAGAAUUAUAAGAGAACAUCUCUCCAUAAAUUUUGCUACUAAAGCAAGACAAACUAAGGACAAGAGGUAGAAAUAUCACCAUAUCUUAAUAUUACAGUUUGUGACGAGAAAUAUCACGUCCAAAAACCCAAUUACGCCCAAACUAUUUCUCUCUAAGGCAGUUAAAGAUUGAGAAAAAAAGAAUAUAAAA